GGAGGUUGGCUGGCGGACGGGCCUCUUCGCCAACCCGGUCAGGUCCGGAAGGAAGCAGCCGUAACGAGGUUGGUCCGGGUCGUUUGUCCAAUCUCCCGC
This 99-nucleotide signal recognition particle RNA is filed under the name Alphaproteobacteria bacterium. RNAcentral's name for it is "signal recognition particle sRNA small type". It matches the Rfam family "Bacterial small signal recognition particle RNA". From Rfam's summary of the family: The signal recognition particle (SRP) is a universally conserved ribonucleoprotein involved in the co-translational targeting of proteins to membranes. Archaeal SRP consists of a 7S RNA and homologues of the eukaryotic SRP19 and SRP54 proteins. Lineage: Bacteria; Pseudomonadati; Pseudomonadota; Alphaproteobacteria. The record is from RNAcentral.